Molecule: unclassified non-coding RNA, 258 nt
Filed under: uncultured fungus
Lineage: Eukaryota; Fungi
Description: sequence contains ITS1
Source: RNAcentral
AAAAGAUCUAGCCCGAAGUGGGACUGAGAGGUCGGUGUUUCCCCGGUCACUCUAACCCAUGCCGGGUUUUCUCACCUCAAAAGUGAGUCAACAUUAUGUGAACUGUUCUGUCUCUGGCGGUGGGGUGGUGUCAAAACUACCUGUCAGCAUCCGGGUUCUCUCGGUGUGCCGUGGACAAGCCGUCAAUGGUGUAUGUUUCAUACAAACUUUUGUUCAUCAAUCUGUCUGACAUACCUUUGUAUCUAAAAUAUACAAAAA